UCAUUCCAUUCCAUUCCGUUCCGAAUGUGUGUCUCGUCGUAUGACAUCACUAUAAGGGAUUAGAGUAUACUAAACUUUACAUAUUAUAUAGGCUACACUAACUUGACGUUUAGGCGGUUGAUUUAACUAUAAUACGUGAUGUACGUUUUUGGGGCUGGUUAAUGAAAGUGUUCCAAAACGCGACAUUAAUUUCUUGACGACUUAAUAUUAUAUAGUUUUUAAAAAUAACGCAUAUUUGUUUCAUAAAUGAAAUUAAUAUAUUUAACUUAAUAACUGUAAAAGUUUUGAAAAAUGACGAAAUUAUAACUCCAAAAAUAUAUCCAUGAUCAACAAAUUGGAUUCAAACCAGUCUUUAUCAUGAAAAAAUUAGAUCCACGAUUUAUCGUGCUAUAAGGGUUUGUUUGGAAUUAAGCAAAAAGCUACACAAUGGCUUAUCUGUGCUUUGCCCACCACGGGUAUCGAAACCCGGUUUCUAGCAGUACAAGUCCGCAGACAUAUCACUGUGCCACUGGGGGCGUAUUAUUCAGACAUCAAAUAUAAAAUAUCGCAGAUAUAAUAAAAAGAAAGAUAAAAACUUCAAAGACAAUGCGAAUCAUUAUAAUUCAUAAAUUAUUUACAAUUAUAUUUUUGUGUGGAUUUCCUGGUAUUGGAUGAUUAAUUCGAAAUAAUUUCAGCCUUUAUCGUGAUACAAUUUCUGUUUGUACCUCUUUGUUGUUUAGUAUACAGAGUAUUGAAUACGCAUAUUAAAAUGAAUUUGGAGCCUUACCAAGUCGUUAAAUACCACGUAAGAUCGUCCAGAUAUACUUUAUCUGACCACCAGCGUAUUGACAACGUCCCCGUAGCGUAGAUUACAUUGCAAAAAAUCUUCAUUGUAAAGCUAUCAUUGUCAAAGUAUUCGACUACUCCUUACAUGUUUUCCAUCAUCCAUAUAUUGUACGAAAACAGUAAUUUCUCAUCGCCUGUUUUAACUGUCUGAUCGCACAGAAAACCAUAAGUGCUGCGUCAAGCAACUUAGCCAGUAUGUUUUCGUAUGGAAAAGCAUGAAUACCCAUUUCAUUCUCCAGCUGUUUGAAGUAUGCGACAGUUGAACGGAUAUGUCCUGGAAGUAGCUUGUGUAUUCGUGACUUGUGUCACUUUUUAGACAGAAAUCGUAGUUGAUUAUUUUGCGUAAUGUUGCCUGAGCCACGUGGACGGCUUUUACCAUUGACUUAUGUGUUUGUGGAUUCUCACCUGUUACAAGACGCUGCACUUACCUUGGUUGUUGAUAUUAUUUUGUUUUCCAAUGCGAAUAAGUACAAGGGAGGUCCUAGUCUUGGAAACUUUAAAUCUCCUAUCUGGCCACAUCUAUAUGAUCUGAGUGAAUGAAUAUGUUGGAUAGGAAAAGGUUGUUACAUACCCUUUACAAAAGCGAUUAAUUUUCUGGGGCAUCACCCUACCUACAAUAUGGUAAACAAUAUCAAUAUGUAGUUCUGAUACAUUGAAUUCCAUUGCGACUUUGUAUCGGCUGUAGUUGUCACAUGACCUGCUGAUGUGCAUAUUAACAAUUGUUGUAGUAUAACGAACUUAUCCCUUUGUAUAUUUAGAUCUUCUAACAUUACCACUUAUUACUCUUUCCAAAUUUAACUCAACAAGACAGUAUGUUCACUUUUAAUUUAACAUGUUUUGUUUGUUUUUAAGUCUAAAAUUAACGUAGAAUGCUUUAAGUUUUAGCAAGAAGUUUAUCUUUCUAUUCAUGCAUUAAACGUUUUAUACUAUACUUUUAUAUCAGUUUUAUUUCAUGUUGCAACUAAAUUGUCCAUAUUGAUAGAUCAACUGCUUCUCGUCUGCAUACUGUUACAUCAUAGUAGAAAUAUACUGGCAGAUAUUUCACUUCAAACCAAUCAUAUGUUAUCAGUCUUUCCUUUACCUUUUACUAGAUAUCUUUAACUACAACUCGUAGUUUGUGACACAUUGUCUGCUUCUUAAAUGUAUAAACCAAUUUAUAACUUUUAGUUUCUUUACUUAUUUAAUGUAUUUAAGUUAUUUUAUGUUUCUCAAUAUUUUUUAAUGAUUUUACCUCCAAUGUAUUAAAGCGAUUUAGUAUUACAUUUUCACUUCAAGGAUUUUUAAUCACCUGCCACAUAUGAAGUUCAGUUAGAAUAUUGAUUUAAAUUUUGUUUGACUAGUUUAUAAAGUAAGUAAAUAUUUCUUCUAAAGUGCAUUCCUGCAUCUGUGUCUCAUUCCCUAUUCAUGACUGAAUAGGGAUGAACAUUUUCCCACUUCACAAUGCAUUAAAAUUAUUCGAUAUCAAAAUUUUUUCUUUAGCGGUAUAUUCGAUCCAACGAUCCAAGACGUUUUGUUUGCACAGUGUCUCUAUUGUUCUCUCUCCUCUCUUCUUUUAACUCUGAAAAAUGAAAAAAAAAAAAAGGAAAAUAAACUAUGAAGCAGAAUGGACUGAAGUGUAAUGCGGCCAGGGCAGCUGAUCUAAUCCAUUACACUAGAUUUGAGCUGGAGCGAGAUAUUCGCCACUGGGAUGACGACCCACCUUUUCCACCCCCAAGAUGGUAGGAAACAUUAAUAACCUGAAGUUGUCUGGUGGAAGUUCUAAAUGAUACCCGGCAUAAAGCUACAUCUGGCUGGCUGCUGUGUUUACCGAGGGGGAAUCGAAUCCCUGAUUUCAGCUUUCUAAAUCUGAAGACUCACCGCUGUUUCAUCGGAAGACGAUAAUUUGAUAGUAUAGUUGAGUAAAAUUCGAGGCAAGACUAUAGUGACAUUCUUUAUUAAAACCUUAUCGGGUAUACUCUAUUCGUCAUGUACCCCUUCUUGAAAACAUACCAACCUUUGACUAAUGAUCAUGUUUUCUUUCUAUGCGUAGUUUUCCGACUGUAAUUCAGAAAACUCAUUGGCAUUGCUAACUUCAUAUUUCUACAGUCAAGCUCCCCAGGAAAUAGAUACUUAUUUCAAAUGGGCUUGCGAUUUUACUCUUAAUGUGUACUGCGUAUACUUCUUGUUAUUAUUUACAAUGAGGAACGUUCUUUGAAGAUAUGUGUUAAAGUGUCACUCUAGCCUACAGCCGUUUCAAAAACAAAGAUAACUAAUCCACUGAUAUAAACAACAACUUCUACUGUUUAACGCUGUCUGGUUUUGUAGGUAAUAAUUAAUAGAUAAUAAAUAUGCGAUUGUUUAAUGUGAUUUAAAACAUCAGAAUUUAAUUAGAAGUAAAUUCAUAGGAUUGCCUUUGAAAUUUUGUGCUUUAUGUAAAUAAACUAGCAGAGAUCCAUAAAACA
This is a long non-coding RNA of Limulus polyphemus (Atlantic horseshoe crab), 3266 nucleotides long. RefSeq lists it as uncharacterized. The record is from RefSeq and is a predicted model, not a curated record. Lineage: Eukaryota; Metazoa; Arthropoda; Merostomata; Xiphosura; Limulidae. The transcript is spliced from 2 exons.